AUUUCCCCAAUGGGUUCUCCGGAUUUCUGGAGACUUGUAGGGGUUGUGGGAUUUUUGAUGUGUCGUCUCCGGACGGGCGGUGCAGGGUAGUCGAGUUAGACUUGGUGGAAUUCCGUCGAUAGGAGUUCCGUCGAGUCUGGUCGGCUGUGUGUUGGACGGUGCAGGGUAGGCUGCUUGGACAUGGUCGGUUCGAGGAUCGAUUCGAGGGCCGGCCUGUCGAUGAUGUGUGAUGUAUGCGGUCUAGGGUAGGCUGGUUUGUCUUGGUUCAAUUUGAUGUCGGCUCCCGUGCAGGUCAGAGUGAAGGGGGGUCCAGGGUAGGUACAGGGUAGGCAGCUUAGAUUUGGUCGAUCUGGAGGUCGAUUCUCCGGCUGGCGGAUCUGACACUGUCGAAACGAGAUGCGAGCGGUGUAGGGUAGGCUAGUUUCGUCCUCGCCAGGUUGCGAUUCGGACGAGAUAUGUGGUCUAGGGUAGGCUCUAGGGUAAGUAGAAUUCUAGUUUCGUCGCCGACAGUUUUCUUUGGGUGUAUGGUAGGUACAGGGUAGGCAAAUCUCUCUCCGGCCAGUACUUGUCUGGUGGUCGUGAGUCGAUUUUUUUGUUUU
RNAcentral lists this unclassified non-coding RNA (599 nucleotides) under Fusarium oxysporum. RNAcentral's name for it is "partial miscellaneous RNA". The record is from RNAcentral. Lineage: Eukaryota; Fungi; Ascomycota; Sordariomycetes; Hypocreales; Nectriaceae.